RNAcentral lists this ribosomal RNA (516 nucleotides) under uncultured bacterium. RNAcentral describes it as "bacterial SSU rRNA". It matches the Rfam family "Bacterial small subunit ribosomal RNA", at positions 1 to 507 of the family's 1533-position model. The record is from RNAcentral.
ACACGGACUACGAGUUUGAUCAUGGCUCAGGAUGAACGCUAGCGGCAGGCCUAAUACAUGCAAGUCGAACGGAUAUAUGUUUUUCGGAAUAUAUAUUAGUGGCGCACGGGGUGAGUAACACGUACAUAACUUGCCCUCAAGCGGGGGAUAGCCUUGGGAAACUGAGAGUAAUACCCCAUAGAAUUAUUGGACGGCAUCGUUUGAUAAUUAAAACUACGGUGUUUGGGGGAUAGAUGUGCGUCUGAUUAGCUAGUUGGUGAGGUAACUGCGUCACCAAGGCGACGAUCAGUAGGGGGCGUGAGAGCGUGGCCCCCCCACACGGGUACUGAGACACGGACCCGACUCCUACGGGAGGCAGCAGUAAGGAAUAUUGGUCAAUGGAGGGAACUCUGAACCAGCCAUGCCGCGUGAAGGAUGACGGCCCUCUGGGUUGUAAACUUCUUUUGGAUGGGGCGAAAAAACGGGAUUUAUCCUGGACUGACGGUACCAUCAGAAUAAGCACCGGCUAACUCCGUG